This is an RNA transcript of Haplochromis burtoni (Burton's mouthbrooder), 5384 nucleotides long. It is a transcript of the gene named Scm like with four mbt domains 1, with no coding region annotated. The record is from RefSeq and is a predicted model, not a curated record. Lineage: Eukaryota; Metazoa; Chordata; Actinopteri; Cichliformes; Cichlidae. The transcript has 18 exons.
UGUUUGACGUCACGCAGUCGCCGCGCGCACCGCUAGGAGCCGCGACACACAAAAGCUGGCAGACAAACAGAGAGGGAGAGCCUCGAGUAACAGCAGCGGACUUGAACACUUCCUUAAAACCACUCAAGCGUUUAAAGCCGAAGCUCCGGGAAAAGAAAAAAUCUUAAAAAAGAAACUUAGAGUCAGGCUAACGAGGAGCCUUUGGUGAGUGGUCACCAUGCCACCCUUCCUGCGUAUCACCCUCAGUAAUUACGAUGUGGGCGCGCUGUCUCCUCUUUCUGAUGCUCCCAUCUGUGCCAUCAGGAUAAAAGAGUCUAUCGACACAGAGAGAGGGAAGACCCUGGUUCAGAGGAAGCCCACCAUGUACCCCCCCUGGAAGUCCAAUUUUGAUGCUCAUAUCAAGGAGGGGCGUGUCCUAGAAGUUGUUCUUAUGCAGAGUAAUGAGGAGCCAUUGGCCAAGGCCACAAUGGGCGUGUCUGUGCUGGCAGAGCGCUGCAAAUCCAAGUCUAGAGGCAGCGGACGUGCUGAGUUCUGGGUGGACCUGCAGCCUUCUGGGAAGAUUCAGAUGGCUGUGCAGUUUUUUUUGGAGGAUGGUGAUGCAGUGGCUGCUAGGCCGACCGUGAAGGCUCCUACUGAAGACGGGUUGAUGACCCUGAACAGGAGGAGGGGCGCAGUCAAGCAGCCCAAGAUUCUUGUCAUCAAGAACCAUGAGUUCACGUCCACCUUCUUCCACCAGCCCACCUUCUGCUCUGUCUGUAGAGACUUUCUCUGGGGGCUCAACAAGCAAGGAUACAAAUGCAAACAAUGCAAUGCAGCAAUCCACAGGAAGUGCAGCGACAAAAUCAUUGGCAAGUGCACUAGAACAGCGACCAACAGUCGUGAGACUAUGUUCCAGAAAGAACGUUUCAAUAUUGACAUGCCACAUCGCUUUAAAACUUACAACUACAAGAGCCCCACCUUCUGUGACCACUGUGGAAGUCUACUGUGGGGUCUGUACAAGCAGGGCCUUAAAUGUGAAGACUGUGGCAUGAACGUACAUAGUGGCUGCACAAGCAAAGUGGGCAAUCUUUGUGGAAUCAACCAGAAACUACUAGCAGAGGCUUUGUCUCAAGUCUCCCAGAAAUCUGUGAAGAAAUCUGAGGACUCCCCUGCACCAGAUAUUGGAAUCUACCAAGAUGUCAGAAAUGCAACAGUGGACCCUAGUGCAGGUGGCAAUGGGAAGGGUCCUAGCCCUAGCCCUGCCCCAGCCCCAACUACAGUUUCCCAGGCACGCCUCUCCCUCAACCAGCUAAUAUUCCACAAGGUUCUGGGAAAAGGCAGCUUUGGCAAGGUGUUGCUUGCAGAGCUGAAGGGACAGAGCCUGUACUUUGCUGUGAAGGUCCUGAAGAAGGACGUCGUUCUCAUGGAUGACGAUGUGGAGUGCACCAUGGUGGAGAAAAGAGUCCUUUCCCUUGCCUGGAACAACCCUUUUCUCACUCAUCUCUAUGCCACAUUCCAGUCAAAAGAGCACCUCUUCUUUGUAAUGGAGUACUUGAAUGGAGGUGACUUGAUGUUUCACAUCCAAGACAAGGGACGAUUUGAUCUCAACAGAGCUACAUUCUAUGCUGCUGAGAUUAUAGUGGGACUGCAAUUCCUCCACUCAAAGGGAAUAAUCUACAGAGACCUGAAGCUGGACAAUGUGAUGCUGGACAAGGACGGACACAUAAAGAUAGCAGACUUUGGCAUGUGCAAAGAGAAUGUCUUUGGAGAUGUCAAAGCGAGCACAUUCUGUGGGACACCAGAUUAUAUCGCACCGGAGAUCCUGUGUGGACAGAAGUACACAUUCUCAGUGGACUGGUGGUCUUUUGGUGUCCUGGUGUAUGAGAUGCUAAUUGGUCAGUCGCCUUUCCAAGGUGACGAUGAGGACGAGCUCUUUGAAUCCAUCAGGUCGGACAUUCCUCACUACCCUCGGUGGAUCUCCAAGGAGUCAAAGAGCCUGCUUGACCUGUUGUUUGAGCGAGAUCCCACUCGCAGAUUGGGUGUUGUGGGGGACAUCCGAGGACACCCAUUCUUCAAAAACAUUAACUGGACAGCACUGGAGAGGAGACAAGUGGAGCCUCCUUUCAAGCCUAAAGUGAAAUCCCCCAGUGACCACAGCAACUUUGAUCGUGAGUUCCUGAAUGAGAAGCCGCGUCUCUCCCAUGCUGAUAAAAACCUCAUUGAUUCUAUGGACCAGGCAGCUUUCGCUGGCUUUUCCUUCAUCAACCCCAAACUGGAACCCAUAAUAACCAAAUAAGAAAGUAAAAACGGCAUCCUCAGAUGGCUCAUCACUUCCAGCAGGCUUCUUACCCAAUUCCCUUUGUCUUCGUGUGGUGGAGGGCCUGAGCUUGACAAUGAAGUUUUCUUUUGUUUUGUUUUUUCAGUUCCCCAAAAGAGGAAAAGAUCAAAUAAAACCAAGAUGUUGUUGGAAGCUAAGUGUAAUAAUAUCUCAGCUAUCAAACUUGUACAGGUGUAUAAAAUAGUGUCUGGAAAUUAAGGGAGUUUCAUCAGAAACCAGUGUUACCAUUAUUAGUCUGGGGACAGGUGUGUAUAGUAGAAUAUAUUCAAUCUUUGGGCACUUUUCUUUCCCUUUUCCACAUGAUCACACUUUGAAUCUGUAAGUAUCAUUUAGUGUACUGUAUCAUAAAUUUUUAUUUACAGACAGAAAUGCAGCACCUUUGUUUAGUCAUAGAAAUUAAUACACCUAGCAUUGCUUAGUCAAGCCGUGUUUGUGUUUGUGUGAAAGACAGAGUGUGUGUGGUGCAUGCAUAAGAGCCUGUGGGUGCGUGCAGGUAUUUUUGUAUGUAAAUGGUGCCUCUGUAGCCAGUAACAUUAACUGUUGGUGUACGAAUUCUCAGCUGGUCCAGGUAAAGGUGCCGUGAAUUUAAGUCUAGCUGAAAUAAAGUUGUUUUUUGUUUUGUUUUGUUUUUAAAUGCUAGAAUUUACAUUUUCCCUCAUUGACUGCACUCUUGUUUAGAAACUAGACAUGCAUUACCCACAGUGUCACAUUCACUUUAAAAAAAUGCCCAUGAUACCCACUUUUCUUGUGUUAUUUAUCCAACACUGGUGUUAAAACUCAUUCAGACUCAAGCACAGUGCAAACACUUGUUCCACACAUAGCAUUAUGUUUUUCUUUGGGCUUGCAAAAGAUUUCAUGAAAGACUUGCAGCAGCCGUUCGGCACCAUGCCUGUAUGUGCUGAAGGACGUGCUUUUAUGGGGGGGGUCACUGUAAGGACAGAUCUUUAAUAUGUCUUAUAUUACUUGAAUGCAGGAAUUUUAACAUGGAAAUAAUAUUGCUGUAUAUGGAAGAUUAAAAUGUAUGUUACUAUGAGCUUUCUAUAAGUUAUGGGUGGACUUAUUUUUUACUCUCCUCAUCUUUUACAUUUGAUUCUGAAUAAAUAUACUGUAAACUCCUGAGAAGUCAUGCCCUUUCUUCUGCUUUAAAUCCAUUUUGCAUCCCAGUUAUUAUUGGUACAGGUUAAGAAAACGUUUACUUGGUUCACGUGCACCUUUGUACUACUGGCAUUAUGUUAGGAAAAGACCUGUGGUAAUUUACCGCCACCUAGCGAUCAGGUGUUUUUAUUGCAGCUUAAAGAAGGGUGAAAAAAAAAAAAAAGGCGAGGAAACGUUCAUGCAGCGCGCUCGCCUUUUUAUGACCUGUCCUCGUCCUCUGUCCCCCACCCCGCCCCGACGCAUUUCGGUGUUUUAAGUCUUAGUGCAGACUGUGGACAAAUAGCAAACAAGAGACAGGAAACUGAAAGCUGCACUGGGAGGCAAACGUGUUCAACUUGUUCGGAGAUUUGCCUCUCUAUGCAAACAGCCUUAAGCCUAAUGCAGCGUUAAAGUUGCAGGCCAUUUUAAAAAGAAAAAACGACCCAACCCAAAUGACAAAUUAAAAAUAACACGAUCAAAAAGAUAAAUUGAAAAAUGCGGCACGGUUAACAAAUACUUUCUCAUUCAGCAGCAGAUUUAUUUGGGGAAACCCAAAUUCCUUCUCGUCUAGUCGAAAGCUUUUAGUGCAAGGCAGCUCCACACUGGAAUAAAAAUCACCAGAUACAUUUUGGAAAUAAAUGCGUGCCCCCCUCCCCCAGUCCCUGUCACUUAAAUUUAUUCACGGCUCUGCGAUUGUUUCGACUGUUUGUGCAAGAUCCGAUCGCCUUUCUGUGGCCAACAUUUACUGUAUUGUUUCCACCUGAAAAAGAAAAAAAUAAACGCUUUUAAAAAUAUUUGUAGGCAUCCGUAAGGCUGGGCCAAGUGAGCGGCAAAAUGUGUUUUAGAUACCGGGUGAGGCUUGAAGAGCUGAAGACGGGUUUAUCGAAACGAGGUGUACACUUGUUUCAUAAGGAAAGCGCCUUUCUUGCACAAAAUAGGUAGACUUUGUGCGCCGCACUCAGUGUCAGCGCAUAUUUCCAGCAGUUUCUCCCGCCCUCUCCCCCCAACAAAAAAAGAACCACAAAAAAACCCACAAAAAAAAAAUAAACGGCUUGGCAUCCUUGCGCAGCUUGAGUAUCCUGACAGCAAAGACGCGUAGAAUUGUAUCCUUCAGUGUGAUUGUCCAUUUUAAAAGUACGGGACGUAUGUCAGGCAUUGUCUGUGAGCUUAUUUUAUUUACUUAACAGAUAUUACAGUGAAUGGAAAUAAACCAACUCGAGGUCAUCUUCAAUAACACAGCCGAUAGCCUACUUCAAUACAGAAUGAAUUGCUUUUCUUUUGUAGCAGAAAAAGAAGCCUAUUCCACUUAUCGAAAUUGUGUCGAUUAUACGUGCAAUUAAUUCCGGCUCAGCCAUUAACUAAGUGUUGAUUCCGCUGGGUAUAAAAGAAGCCCUUUAACGGCUGGUGAGGCUGACCCUCCCCUUCUGUACGAACACGGCAAACAUUUAGCUUUUUUUCUUUUAUUUUUGUGUUAUAGAUAGAGUCUUCACUCCUGUUGUGUGUCAUUUUUAUUGUGUGUGUGAAGAUGGAAGUCAGUGUGAUGUAGCCAGGCUCAGAGGCAUAUAGGCGGCAGAACAUGCGCAGUGGCCGCUCGUGCCAUAUUGGAAUGAGGUCGUGAACGAGAACUACGUUAAGCUAACGGCACGCUGCCGAAACAAAGCCGGAAGUAUCUGCGGAUUAAUCCUCGUCACAGCAAAAGCCCUGCUCGUUGCUCGGGCAACGGCUGUAAAGCGGUGGCUCGUGAAGGCGGUUUUAUUGUGAAACGUCCCACCGGGGCCUCGGCUUUUUAUUCGCGCUACGCUAACGCUGCUGAGAGCAAGCAGGCGGAGAGGAACGGCAUCUAAAAAGCGACUUGGAAAAACUACUUAGCGAGUUUUGGAGUCCUAGUUGGCCGCGAGGGCACCAGCAUGAGCCAGGAGACACUGGUGUCUGG